RNAcentral lists this ribosomal RNA (535 nucleotides) under Sapromyza slovaca. RNAcentral describes it as "partial 16S ribosomal RNA". It matches the Rfam family "Bacterial large subunit ribosomal RNA", at positions 1888 to 2628 of the family's 2925-position model. The record is from RNAcentral. Lineage: Eukaryota; Metazoa; Arthropoda; Insecta; Diptera; Lauxaniidae.
CGUUACUGAGUCGAUCCGCUGAUGGCGGAUGCCCCUGAAUUUUUUGUGGCCGCAGUAUAUUAACUGUGCUAAGGUAGCAUAAUCAUUAGUCUUUUAAUUGAAGGCUGGAAUGAAUGGUUGGACGAAAUAUUAACUGUUUCAUGUAAAUUUAUAAUAAAAUUUUAUUUUUCAGUCAAAAAGCUGAAAUUGUAUUAAAAGACGAGAAGACCCUAUAAAUCUUAAUAUUUUUGUUAUUAUAAUUAUAAAGAUUAAUUUUAUUAUAAUAAUUAAAAAUAUUUUAUUGGGGUGAUAUUAAAAUUUAAUAAACUUUUAAUUUAUUAAAUCAUUAAUUUAUGAAUAUAUGAUCCAAUUUUAUUGAUUAAAAAUUUAAGUUACUUUAGGGAUAACAGCGUAAUUUUUUUGGAGAGUUCAUAUCGAUAAAAAAGAUUGCGACCUCGAUGUUGGAUUAAGAGAUAAAUUUGGGCGCAGCCGUUCAAAAGUUAAGUCUGUUCGACUUUUAAAUUCUUACGUGAUCUGAGUUCAGACCGGAAAUCCU